UGAGGAAUAUUGGUCAAUGGACGAGAGUCUGAACCAGCCAAGUAGCGUGCAGGAUGACGGCCCUAUGGGUUGUAAACUGCUUUUGUUUGGGAAUAAUCGACAUUACGUGUAAUGUUUUGCAUGUACCAUUCGAAUAAGGACCGGCUAAUUCCGUGCCAGCAGCCGCGGUAAUACGGAAGGUCCAGGCGUUAUCCGGAUUUAUUGGGUUUAAAGGGAGUGUAGGCGGUUGGUUAAGCGUGUUGUGAAAUGUAAGAGCUCAACUUUUAGAUUGCAGCGCGAACUGGCAGACUUGAGUGCGCACAACGUAGGCGGAAUUCAUGGUGUAGCGGUGAAAUGCUUAGAUAUCAUGACGAACUCCGAUUGCGAAGGCAGCUUACGGGAGCGCAACUGACGCUAAAGCUCGAAGGUGCGGGUAUCGAACAGG
Molecule: ribosomal RNA, 424 nt
Filed under: Verrucomicrobiota bacterium
Lineage: Bacteria; Pseudomonadati; Verrucomicrobiota
Description: Verrucomicrobia bacterium partial 16S ribosomal RNA
Rfam family: Bacterial small subunit ribosomal RNA
Source: RNAcentral